AUCAAUCAAAUACUACUAUCACCUGAUAAAUGUGUGUGUUGCUUAAAAAAAAAGAAGGACCCGGGCCAAUUUCCAGGUCCCGUCCUUUUCAGAGCGAGAAGGAUCACCAAGUAUGAGCUCGCGUCCACAGAGCAGCACAGCACGCCGGUCGUCGCUGCUUCCUUGCGCGAUUGGAUGGACAUCGUUAGCCUAGCCACCACACAGGACGCACGAAAAUCUACUGACAGCGCUGGGAGGGAGAUGAGAAAUGGCCUUGUUUAGAUGCGAAAAGAUUUUGGAUUUCGCUACUGUAGCACUUUCAUUUGUUUGUGGCAAAUACUGUCCAAUCAUGGACUAACUAAGAUCAAA
RNAcentral lists this long non-coding RNA (348 nucleotides) under Sorghum bicolor (sorghum). RNAcentral's name for it is "long non-coding RNA (SBIC_LNC003734)". The record is from RNAcentral. Lineage: Eukaryota; Viridiplantae; Streptophyta; Magnoliopsida; Poales; Poaceae.